Molecule: ribosomal RNA, 255 nt
Filed under: uncultured bacterium
Lineage: Bacteria
Description: partial 16S ribosomal RNA
Rfam family: Bacterial small subunit ribosomal RNA
Source: RNAcentral
UACGUAGGGUGCAGGCGUUAAUCGGAAUUACUGGGCGUAAAGCAUGCGCAGGCGGUUUGCUAAGACAGGUGUGAAAUCCCCGGGCUUAACCUGGGAACUGCGCUUGUUACUGGCAGGCUUGAGUGUGGCAGAGGGGGGUGGAAUUCCACGUGUAGCAGUGAAAUGCGUAGAGAUGUGGAGGAACACCGAUGGCGAAGGCAGCCCCCUGGGGCUAACACUGACGCCUCAUGCACGAAAGCGUGGGGAGCAAACAGG